UGUGACUCAGUGUUAGAGCACUUGCCUAGCAUGCAAGAGGCCCUGGGUUCAAUUCCCAGCA
This 61-nucleotide transfer RNA is filed under the name Heterocephalus glaber (naked mole-rat). It matches the Rfam family "tRNA", at positions 6 to 65 of the family's 71-position model. From Rfam's summary of the family: Transfer RNA (tRNA) molecules are approximately 80 nucleotides in length. Lineage: Eukaryota; Metazoa; Chordata; Mammalia; Rodentia; Bathyergidae. The record is from Rfam by way of RNAcentral.